GCUGCAUCAGUUGGAAACAAUUUUCAACAUUAAUAAUUAUAUUUUUUUAAUUUCGAUUUUACUACAAUAUUACAAUUCCACAUGAAAUAUAACGCUUCUCUAUAUAACGAUACAUCUCAAAAAGAUUCGUAUACAAGUAAUUUACGACUUUGAAGAAAGCAAUAAAGUGUAUUUUUUCAAAACUUUUAACACGGUUCUUGUUACUUGGUAGUGAAGUUCGAGUUUCUUAUUAAGUGGAAUUGUAGGUUUUUCCUUCUCUGACUCGUUAUCCAUAACAACAUUGUUAAGUUAAAUUCCAAGACAUCGUCCAUGAAAGUUAUUUCGAAACUUGUGAUUCACUGCGAACAUUUUUUCUCUGAAAUGGUUACACGACAACCGUCCAGUUGAUGAGUAUCCUGGGUACUUUACGGAUCUUUACGGUCUUCCCACGAAUUGCAACACGGUUAUUUUGGAACAGAUAAUUACAACUCAACUGAAUAGUUACAAGAUGGCAAUGUCGGGUAAAGAUGAUGAUGAAUCGUGUCCGGGAAAACAAGAGAGAAAUGAGAAAAUAAAUACAGAACACACGAGGUAACCCUCGACAAAUAACACAAAAAGAAAGGAAAGUUUUACGCAUCACACAACAAACAUUCACAUGAAAGUAUUUUUCUUCCUCUGAACCAUUGAACACAUUUGUACAAGUUCACAAACAGACACAUCAUAUAUGUCAAUAUUUGAGUGCGUUUUGAAGAAAAUAUAUCAACGUACGCAGUGACAAUAAACAGUAACUAUUCCCACCAUUAAUGAAAUAAUUAACAUAUAUGGCUGCAAAGAUAGAAAUACAAAAACAGUAAUAAGUAUAUGAAAAUAAGUCAUUGAUUAUCACAUUGCUUCAUUCAACAAUUUUGCACACUAACAGCAAAAUUUGGUAAAAAAUACUACUUCAGUAAAAAUGCAUUUUACGACUUUUACUGCAUUUUUAAUGCAUUUUACGAUUGGAAACCUAGUGAUCAGAAAACACGAAUAUUAAUAUACCCUGCGAAUCAUCCGUUUGGUACUUAUUAUCACAAUGAAACUUAAACCUCAAUGGUUUCAGUAGAGCAGAACAUUUUCAGUGCUCGUGAAUUAGCCUCUCUCACGAAGGCCAAAUUCGCCAUUUUUGGGGUACUUUUUUGAAAAACGACGUGAAAAAUCUAAGCGAUAUGAAAACAUUUUUUCAAAGAUAUGACUGUAAAUUAACUUACAAUGAUUAUUACUCACAAUUAUAGUUCUACAAAUCCCUUAUUCACUGCCUUCAAUCUCAGACUUGGAAAAGGUGGUACCCCAAAAAUGGCGGCGUAAGAAAGGCUAAUUAACUACGUCUAAUAUCUUCCAAACUUUUAAAUUAUGUUAAUGUUUAUAGGGUUUGACUAUUAUGUACUAUUUAAAACAUGAGGAGCAGUGUUUUAGCAGAUAUAAAGAUACGAGGCGAAGCCGACCGAGUAUCUUUAGGUCUGAUAAAACAUGCACUGCGAAUGUUUUAACUUGCUUCAAAAACGACCGAUCUAGUAAAUUCAUUGGCGAAGUAAUUUAAAAAAAAAAAAUUGUGUAAGCCGAGAAAAUCAAAGUUAAAGUUUAUGUAAAUAAAAGAAAUGUCUAUCACAUAUAAAGAUACGACACGCUUAUGAGUUUUCUUUGUGUUUUCCUCAUGAAUUAUUGCGUUUUUAAAGAUUAAAUGAAAACACUUUAGUUUUAUUUGUUGGGUUAUGCAGUCCCAGCUACGUAGUAUCAAAAAAGGCCAACACGGCAUGAUAAAAGUAUUAAGCAUGCAAUGCGUUUCAGAUAAACAUGAAAAUUAUUCUCAAAAAUAAUGAAAUCUUGAUGGAGGUUGCCGCUUUGUUAUAUAUUAGCGAAUGAAGUUCGACAAAAAGGAAAGUAUUACGUUAAACUUAGUGAUUAUGGGACCUGUAGUGCGUUAGGGGAUGGCAGUAAAUACCUUCUUGUUUAGGAGACCGGAUAAUUUGUUCAUUUUUCGCUCAUGUUAAAUUAACAUAACUUAAUAACAAUUUAGUUUUUGGACAGUUCCUACAGUGACAAGAUGAGGCACACAUUCGGUUAAAGUAAAAGUGUACAAUGAUGCUAGUAAGAUUAUAGGCAAUAUUUUAUUGAAGUGCUGGGAUGGUAUGGGAAACCUAUUGGACAGAUUGGACAUAAUAAUUGUAAAUAAUCGAUUGGACUAUAAUUGUACAUAAUAAUUGUAAAUUGGAUCCUAUCGAUUAAAACAUCCGAAGUUUAAAACAGAUUCAAGGGUGCAGUGAAUGAGCCAUAACAAAGCUCCAGUUGAUGUAAAAAGACCAUAUUGAAAAAGAAAAAACACUUUACUGGGAAAAAAAUUCACAACUCUGAAUAGAAUAGACGACGUACAAGAAAUAUUUAGAUAUUACACAAUUAUCGUGAUUUGUCAGUGGCGACCAGAUCUAUUACUUGCCGAUGCCCAAGACAGAAGAGGAAAGACAUUGAAAUCACGAAACUUAAAUCACGGUCGUUUCUUCUACAACAGAAGCAGAAACUGACCCCAACCUCGCUUCUUCUACAACAGAAGCAGAAACAUUCAUCAAGCUCGCUUCUUCUAAACAGAAACCACUGUUGCUCAGCUGCAACACAUUUUCUUCACAACCAUAUUACCGCCCAACUGGCGAAAUAAGUUUCCUUCAACUUUGGGCUUCUUUUUUAUAAGUUUGUCAAGCAAACACAAAAUCCUAAUUUGCAAAAGUUCGGUAAAAUAAGCAAGCCAUCCAUAGAGACAUGUUUACAAAAGCGAAGCCAAUGAGCACGAACAGAUCAUUAUUUGCAGCGGAGCUACGAUUUUGCCUAAUGCGCAUAUGCUCAGACUAUUAUUUACACAAUUACGAUACAAAACCCUUUUAAAUAUGGCUUUAUAAUAAGAAUAUUUUAGAUUGUCGUAGUUCCGGAUGGCGAAACAGCAAAGAAAGUGCCUGCAGUGCCUGGAUUGUUGGAACAUCGUAAAGAUUCCAAGGAACUAUAUGCAAGGGCGGAUGAAACUCGAGUGUUGUUGCGGAAGAGGAGGUAGUUGGAGCUGACGUGCAUUUGCAUUAGUUAUUGUAGGAAAUUAGCCAAUCAAAAUUGAGUAAAUAAUCAUAUGAAUAAACAUGGUUAAUUGUGGUUUGCUGAUCCAAAUGAAGAGUUCCUAGGCCCUCAUAAUUUUGGUAGUAGUUGAAUGAGGAAAGCUUGAAAGAAAUUGUAAAAGUUUGAAUGUGAUCCGAAAAAAGUACUUGAAACUUCUUCGUAAACGUAAAAGAAAACCAAUAUCAAAUAUCAAAUUAAAUAUCAAAUAAACAACAUUUGGCUUGCGGUUCUCAGUAAGGCUAAUGCAAAAACCCAUUACAAGGAUGAG
Non-coding RNA from Paramuricea clavata, 3373 nucleotides. The record is from the annotation of a GenBank genome assembly. NCBI's taxonomy places the organism in Eukaryota, Metazoa, Cnidaria, Anthozoa, Malacalcyonacea, Plexauridae.